This 68-nucleotide transfer RNA is filed under the name Felis catus (domestic cat). It matches the Rfam family "tRNA". Rfam says of the family: Transfer RNA (tRNA) molecules are approximately 80 nucleotides in length. The record is from Rfam by way of RNAcentral. Lineage: Eukaryota; Metazoa; Chordata; Mammalia; Carnivora; Felidae. RNAcentral also lists the same sequence under 5 other names.
CAUUAAGAAGCAAAAUAAGCAUUAACCUUUAAAGUUAAAGAUUGGGAAUUUAAAUCUCCCCUUAAUGA